This is a long non-coding RNA of Ciona intestinalis (vase tunicate), 178 nucleotides long. RefSeq lists it as uncharacterized. NCBI's taxonomy places the organism in Eukaryota, Metazoa, Chordata, Ascidiacea, Phlebobranchia, Cionidae. The record is from RefSeq and is a predicted model, not a curated record.
UCAAAAAAUGACGUCAUACACCCUCUAUAUUCAUCCGCGCUGUGCACGUUUUUAAUGUUGAUAAUGUAGUGAAGAUAACAUUGGGGACGGAAACUACAUUUGUGCAACGAAGGGACUUACAACCAAGAUGGCGUCUCGGUGAAAACAGUCUGGAAAUUCUGUAGCCUGACUAACGCAG